Molecule: small nuclear RNA, 20 nt
Filed under: Arabidopsis thaliana (thale cress)
Lineage: Eukaryota; Viridiplantae; Streptophyta; Magnoliopsida; Brassicales; Brassicaceae
Description: snRNA_10531
Source: RNAcentral
AACUAAAACUUAAAAAUGGG